AUUGAACGCUGGCGGCAGGCCUAACACAUGCAAGUCGAGCGGAUGAAGGGAGCUUGCUCCUGGAUUCAGCGGCGGACGGGUGAGUAAUGCCUAGGAAUCUGCCUGGUCGUGGGGGAUAACGUCCGGAAACGGGCGCUAAUACGGCAUACGUCCUGAGGGAGAAAGAGGGGGAUCUUCGGACCUCUCGCUAUCAGAUGAGCUUAGGUCGGAUUAGCUAGUUGGUGGGGUAACGGCCUCUCAAGGCGACGAUCCGUAACUGGUCUGAGAGGAUGAUCAGGCACACUGGAACUGAGACACGGUCCAGACUCCUACGGGAGGCAGCAGUGGGGAAUAUUGGACGAUGGGCGAAAGCCUGAUCCAGCCAUGCCGCGUGUGUGAAGAAGGUCUUCGGAGUGUAAAGCACUUUAAGUUGGGAGGAAGGGCAGUAAGUUAAUACCUUGCUGUUUUGACGUUACCAACAGAAUAAGCACCGGCUAACUUCGUG
Molecule: ribosomal RNA, 484 nt
Filed under: uncultured bacterium
Lineage: Bacteria
Description: partial 16S ribosomal RNA
Rfam family: Bacterial small subunit ribosomal RNA
Source: RNAcentral